GAUGAACGCUGGCGGCGUGCCUAAUACAUGCAAGUCGAGCGAACGGACGAGAAGCUUGCUUCUCUGAUGUUAGCGGCGGACGGGUGAGUAACACGUGGAUAACCUACCUAUAAGACUGGGAUAACUUCGGGAAACCGGAGCUAAUACCGGAUAAUAUUUUGAACCGCAUGGUUCAAAAGUGAAAGACGGUCUUGCUGUCACUUAUAGAUGGAUCCGGGCUGCAUUAGCUAGUUGGUAAGGUAACGGCUUACCAAGGCAACGAUGCAUAGCCGACCUGAGAGGGUGAUCGGCCACACUGGAACUGAGACACGGUCCAGACUCCUACGGGAGGCAGCAGUAGGGAAUCUUCCGCAAUGGGCGAAAGCCUGACGCAGCAACGCCGCGUGAGUGAUGAAGGUCUUCGGAUCGUAAAACUCUGUUAUUAGGGAAGAACAUAUGUGUAAGUAACUGUGCACAUCUUGACGGUACCUAAUCAGAAAGCCACGGCUAACUACGUG
This 497-nucleotide ribosomal RNA is filed under the name uncultured bacterium. Its description in RNAcentral is "partial 16S ribosomal RNA". It matches the Rfam family "Bacterial small subunit ribosomal RNA", at positions 28 to 507 of the family's 1533-position model. The record is from RNAcentral.